ACCAAUGAGAGAGAGAAAAAAAACACGCCAUUCAACAAUUAAGACAUGUUUAUUACCUCACUGUGAGAAUACAUAGGCUAAUGCACACAGAGUAUCCACAUAUGUCAGUGAGUGAAAUUGAAAGCCUUCCAGCAAAGCCAUAGUAGUUAUGAGAACACAUCAUCCUCCUCCUCCUCAUCUUCAUCAUGGCUCCACUGCCUAUUAUUAUUAUUAAUACGAUGAAGAGCCGGUGUGGCUGCUCUGGUCUUAACGGGCCUGUUAAGCAUCUUGUCCCCGAUAACAAGGCAGACAGUAUGCCAUAUGAUCCUCCUAAAGAGAAUCAGGGCCACCAGCACUACCAUGAGAACACCGGAGAACAUGGUAGAAAUAACAGCAAUGGAACCACUAAACUCAGAUAUCUCUGUCUGUCACCAAGAUAUUAUGUAAUCACUACUAGUCUAAGACACGGAUGAAUUCCUAUCAACUACUCCAAUAUUUAACUUUAUUGACAUUUCUCUCCCUCAAACAUGUGAAUUUAUAAAUACAGCCAGUCCUGCUAAGGAAUGUGAUUGUAUGCUGCUCACAAACCCAGCCUAUAGAAACUACUCAGAGGCAGUGGAAUGGGGUGCAGUGGUGGUGUUGGGGGUGGGGGGGGGCACAGUCCACAGCACUAUUCAUCGCUGCCACUUCAGCCUGCUAACAAUGAUAGCUCUGUCAAGAGGAACUCCGGAGCAAUCUCCUGCUCCCUUCAGAAAGGAGCCCUGAUUUGUGGAGUGUGCCACACACCCUUCUCCCUGUGCCCCCUUUUCGAUCCCUCCUUCUCUCCUUUCUUCUCGGCUGCUGAUGUAAUCCAAAAUCAUCCAGAGGAGCAGCUGCACAGCGAAACUGCGCUCUCUCACUCGCUCGCACUCUCUCUAUAUCUCUUUCCUUUCUCUUUCCAGAGGCGCGCAGGGCUGUCACAGGGAAGGAGAAGAGGGCUGCAGAGACAAUUGGGUCCUUUCUCUCCUCUAUCACUUCAAAUCCCCUUUUCUGUCCACCACUGUAUCUUGCUUGAAGAGGUGUCCGGGUUCGGAACAGCCUGAGGGACAGACUGUUGUGUGUUUGUUUUACAAACACACAACUGGAAAAUCAACUGUAGCUAUCUCCCUGUUGGGCCACCAAAGCCUUUCUCCAACAGAUGUUGUAGUCUAAGUAUACCUUCUAAGUAUACUGUGUAAAUAUCACAAAAGAAUCCCACCUUGCAUGACUGGCUUUUCCGUCUGAGGGAAGACGAGUCAUAACCGUCUGCUGUGAAAGGUGUUGAGUGCACUAAUCUGCCAGUAGUGUGAAGAACAGCCUUAUCUUGAAUAAAGUAUAGCACUAGUACAUAGAGUUUACCCAUUGGGGGUGUGAUUUAAAGUCCUUGUUUUUGACUUUCCUGAUAACGUUAAGGGAAAACAGCCUGUCGACAUUGAGAUUAUUUUCUCAGAUCAGUUCAUGGUAUACGUAUUCAGAUGUUUUUUCAGUUUCAGAGGUGUCAUGUGAAGCCCAUACACAAAGAUGCUUCCAAAAAUGACAUUGUCUGUCAAAUCACCAGCUAGCCCCUUUCUCAGUUCCAGGCCUGGAGGUCAUGCUAGCCCCUUUCUCAGUUCCAGGCCUGGAGGUCAUGCUAGCCCCUUUCUCAGUUCCAGGCCUGGAGGUCAUGCUAGCCCCUUUCUCAGUUCCAGGCCUGGAGGUCAUGCUAGCCCCUUUCUCAGUUCAAGGCCUGGAGGUCAUGCUAGCCCCUUUCUCAGUUCAAGGCCUAGAGGUCAUGCUAGCCCCUUUCUCAGUUCCAGGCCUGGAGGUCAUGCUAGCCCCUUUCUCAGUUCCAGGCCUGGAGGUCAUGCUAGCCCCUUUCUCAGUUCCAGGCCUGGAGGUCAUGCUAGCCCCUUUCUCAGUUCCAGGCCUGGAGGUCAUGCUAGCCCCUUUCUCAGUUCAAGGCCUGGAGGUCAUGCUUGGCCCUUUCUCAGUUCCAGGCCUGGAGGUCUGACUCAUGCUGGUUUCCAUUCUUUCAUCCUAAUCAGGAAUUGAUCCAACCCUGGGGCUUCAGGUGAAGGAACUGUCUGGCCAAUCGGUGACAUGGAUCAAUAUAUUAACUCCCAGGGUGGAAAGACAACAAUCAAUACUCCGGACCUUCACGCUUAAAUGUGACUACCUCUGCUCUACCACAUAGCAACAGAAGGCAGAGCUAAGCGGAGUAUAUACUUAGUCAUGAGGGAUCCAUCCAGAAUGGCUUCCAGAACAUAGUUACCGUUACAUAAAUUGUAAGCUUAACACUGCCUUGUCAAUGUGACCUCAUGCAGGGCGCAAAGCUCCAGGAAAACAAACAUAUAGACUGGGACUCCUUUUUUUUCCUCUUUUCUCUGCUAUCUCUAUGACGAUCUGAUAAAAAAAACACCUAUCCCCGCAUUCCACUGACCCAUUUGACCCAUGAGAAGUGUGAGGUAAACCACAAGCCG
Oncorhynchus keta (chum salmon) is the source of this 2456-nucleotide long non-coding RNA. RefSeq lists it as uncharacterized. The transcript is spliced from 3 exons. Lineage: Eukaryota; Metazoa; Chordata; Actinopteri; Salmoniformes; Salmonidae. The record is from RefSeq and is a predicted model, not a curated record.